This 253-nucleotide ribosomal RNA is filed under the name uncultured bacterium. RNAcentral describes it as "partial 16S ribosomal RNA". It matches the Rfam family "Bacterial small subunit ribosomal RNA", at positions 524 to 776 of the family's 1533-position model. The record is from RNAcentral.
UACGAAGGGGGCGAGCGUUGUUCGGAAUUACUGGGCGUAAAGGGCGCGUAGGCGGCGACUCUAGUCAGAUGUGAAAGUCCUGGGCUUAACCUGGGGACUGCAUUUGAUACUGGGUUGCUUGAAUUCGGGAGAGGAUAGCGGAAUUCCCAGUGUAGAGGUGAAAUUCGUAGAUAUUGGGAAGAACACCGGUGGCGAAGGCGGCUAUCUGGACCGACAUUGGCGCUGAGGCGCGAAAGCUAGGGGAGCAAACGGG